AGUAAAUAUCUACUGCGGUGUUCUGACCGACGCUGGCAUGAUCUUUUGCCAUCGUCACGUCCAGCCCCACCACCCAAUAAAACAAGAAGGUUAAAACCUAUAGGAAAAAAUGAAGUAGAUUAGAAAAGAAGCAUCACAUGAGGAAUCGAGCAAACAGAGAAGGAAUACAUACAAAUAUAUACCAUGUAAAUUGGGAGGUGGACGCGUUCAAACCAGGUGUUAUUGGUCGGCUGGACGAUGCCAGAACACUGAUCUUUCCUUGUAGAUUUGCGAAACUUUCGGCGUUUAGUGAUCUUGCGCCGAAAGUUUUCGCAGCGGUAGACAAACCCGAAUUUCGUGCGAGCGUCCCUCUCAACGUAGGUUGAGGCUAAAAACAAAAUCAAAAAGUAGUUAUCAACAUAUAAAAGAAGAGCUGAGCAGGCAUAAAGGAAUAGGCAGAAAACAAAACGAAAAUUUGCAUAACUUCACAAUGAGGACAUUUCGGCAUGUUCUCGCACGAAUUUGGAUGAGGGACGAGACCGACUCGGAAGCAAAGUUGGCGAUUGUGUUCUUCAUUGUCGGGAAAGAAACGACAGAUGUUAUAGAGCAAUAAGCCAUCAAAAGGAUUGUCAGAAAGAAAAGUUUCAGCUGUCAUGUUUUGUAAUACGAAUUAGCACUAGUAAU
RNAcentral lists this long non-coding RNA (663 nucleotides) under Androctonus crassicauda. The record is from RNAcentral. Lineage: Eukaryota; Metazoa; Arthropoda; Arachnida; Scorpiones; Buthidae.